Molecule: ribosomal RNA, 490 nt
Filed under: uncultured bacterium
Lineage: Bacteria
Description: partial 16S ribosomal RNA
Rfam family: Bacterial small subunit ribosomal RNA
Source: RNAcentral
AUUGAACGCUGGCGGCAGGCUUAACACAUGCAAGUCGAGCGGUAACAGAGAGAAGCUUGCUUCUCUGCUGACGAGCGGCGGACGGGUGAGUAAUGCCUAGGAAUCUGCCUAGUAGUGGGGGAUAACUUGCCGAAAGGUAAGCUAAUACCGCAUACGUCCUACGGGAGAAAGGAGGGGACCUUCGGGCCUUUCGCUAUUAGAUGAGCCUAGGUCGGAUUAGUUAGUUGGUGAGGUAAUGGCUCACCAAGACCGCGAUCCGUAACUGGUCUGAGAGGAUGAUCAGUCACACUGGAACUGAGACACGGUCCAGACUCCUACGGGAGGCAGCAGUGGGGAAUAUUGGACAAUGGGGGGGACCCUGAUCCAGCCAUGCCGCGUGUGUGAAGAAGGUCUUAGGAUUGUAAAGCACUUUAAGUUGGGAGGAAGAGCAGUUAACUAAUAUUUGACUGUUUUGACGUUACCGACAGAAUAAGCACCGGCUAACUUCGUG